RNAcentral lists this small RNA (107 nucleotides) under Marmota monax (woodchuck). The record is from RNAcentral. Lineage: Eukaryota; Metazoa; Chordata; Mammalia; Rodentia; Sciuridae.
GCCAGGCGUGGUGGCACACACCUAUAAUCCCAGUGACUCAAGAGGCUGAGGCAGGUGGAUUGCAAGUUUGAGGUUAACCUCAGUAACUUGGUGAGAACCUGUCUCAA